This 279-nucleotide ribosomal RNA is filed under the name uncultured bacterium. RNAcentral's name for it is "partial 16S ribosomal RNA". It matches the Rfam family "Bacterial small subunit ribosomal RNA", at positions 506 to 784 of the family's 1533-position model. The record is from RNAcentral.
UGCCAGCCGCCGCGGUAACACGGGGGGCGCAAGCGUUAUUCGGAAUUAUUGGGCGUAAAGCGCGUGUAGGCGGUUCGUUAAGUCUGAUGUGAAAGCCCGGGGCUCAACCCCGGAAGUGCAUUGGAAACUGGCGAACUUGAGUACGGGAGAGGAAAGUGGAAUUCCGAGUGUAGGGGUGAAAUCCGUAGAUAUCAGGAGGAACACCGAUGGCGAAGGCAUCUCUCUGGGCCGAUAUUGACGCUGAGACGCGAAAGCGUGGGGAGCAAACAGGAUUAGAUA